Molecule: long non-coding RNA, 2282 nt
Organism: Monomorium pharaonis (pharaoh ant)
Lineage: Eukaryota; Metazoa; Arthropoda; Insecta; Hymenoptera; Formicidae
Product: solute carrier family 35 member G1
Exons: 3
Source: RefSeq, a predicted model, not a curated record
UGUAUUUGAGCAGCACCAGUGCAGGAUCAGUACAGAUCUGUUAGUUGCAUAUUUUACCUUUUGUUUUUCCUCGUCUCUCAAUUCAAAAAACAAUUAUACGUUCAUUUUCUUUAAAGCUAGAAAAUGCAAAAGAGUACAGUCAAAAUGAGCAAAUCCACAGUUAAACGGCUACAUUUUGUGGCUACAUUACUGAUUAGAUAAUUUCAUGGUUAUUCACAAACGUAUCUGAUGAAAUCGUUAAUACAUUAAUAGAUAUGUCAGAGCAUGUGGAAUUACAACACUUGGUUGACGCCGAUGUGGAGAGUAAUAUGACAAAUUACAAAAAAAAAUGUUCUAUGAUAUUGUGUAAAUCGUGUCCAUAUUGGGGCCUAACAUUAGCAAUACUAUCGUCUCUAUUUUUUUCUUUAUGUAGUGUUAUCGUUAAGAGUUUGGUGGAGAUAAAUCCCAUGGAAAUGGCAAUCUUCCGAUUUAUGGGAGUAUUGUUACCAGCUAUUCCAAUUGUGAUUUACAAAGGCGAACAUCCUUUUCCGAAAGGACGCAGACUGAUACUUAUUUUAAGGAGUUUCAUCGGCACGACGGGACUUAUGUUAAGUUUCUAUGCAUUUAGGUAUAUGCCAUUGGCGGAUGCUUCGGUUAUCGUAUUUUCUGUUCCGGUAUUCGUGGCAAUAUUUGCACGGAUAUUUUUGAAGGAGCCCUGUGGCUUAUUCAAUGUUGUCACUAUAUGUCUGACGUUGAUCGGCGUGAUUCUAAUAACGCGACCGUCGUUAAUUUUCAGUCACACUGUGGAAUCUCUCUCGGAUGGCCACGUUAAGCCGGAGAAUGCGGAUUUAUGGAGUGCUAUGGCCGCUUUCUCAGCUACUUUGUUUGGAGCAAACGCGUAUGUUUUACUUCGUGCGUUAAAAGAUCUUCAUUUUUCUGUUAUAAUGACGAACUUUGGUUCAUUUGCCCUAAUUCAAACCACGCUUAUAUCAUGGGCGAUCGGCGCGUUGUGCAUGCCACAUUGUGGCACGGAUAGAUUGUUGGUUGUCGUGCUUGCGUUGUUUAGUUUCGCGGGUCAAAUCUUGUUGACUUUAGCGCUUCAGAUAGAGCAAGCUGGUCCAGUGGCCAUAGCAAGGUCCACAGACAUUGUUUUUGCGUUCUUUUGGCAGGUAUUAUUUUUUAACGAAAUACCAAAUCGAUAUUCCAUAGGCGGGGCUAUAUUAGUCACUAGCUCGGUUUUGUUAAUAGGAUUAAGAAAAUGGGCUCUUUCAUUACCGGAAACAUCGAAUAUUAAAAAAUUUCUUAGGAUCCUAAUGAUGUAAACGAUGAUUUUUUAGAGAUGAAAAAGGAAACUUUAUUUAAACUAAAUUAAUUAACUUUAACACUAGAACAACCGGCAUUAAAUAUGUACCUAUUUCUAUUAUUUUUUGUUUUUAUUUUCAAAUUCUUUACACAUUAUUUUUAUUUUUUUAAAUAUUUAAAUAAUUAAUUUGAAAAAAAUCCGACGAAAAUCACAUUUGUAAUUUAAUCCAUAAAUCUGACACCCAUUAUUUUGACGGGUUUGUUCUAGUAUUAAAACCUGCCAACACUGUAUGUAGCACGCACGUUAUUAUGAUGUCUUAACUCGUACGUUUUGUUGUUGGCGUUUUAACUAGUAUUGAAACAUGAUUCAUAUGUAUAUCGAUAUCACGUAACUAAUUGUGAAAUUUCUGGUGAAUGUUGCAAUGACAUAAUAUAUGACUUUAUAGUAUGAUGCUUUAUAGUAUAAUGCUGAGCACACUAUGAAUUUAUUUUUCUAUCUGGAAUUGCCAAAUCGUAUAAAGUUUAUACGUAUAAAGUCAUAGUGUACUCAGCAUGCAUUCAUAUAAUAUGACCUCAAAGGUGCAUACACAUAUGCUACUCAGGAUAGCAUAUUAGAACUGCGGACGCGUUAUGAUAUUAAAGAAAUAUCUCAUGUGAUAAAAAAAUUAUUAGAUUAUAAGGUUGCCUCAUUGUCGAGUUUUUGGGCAAGAGGAGGAUUGGCAAAAAGAGGUAGUGACGUCAGCGUAAAUCCCAGUGAAUCUCAUUUGGCGGCUUCCAGUGAUUUUUAUUGAGAAUGUAAAAUCUAUUGGACUUAUGACCAAUUGCAUACUGGAUAAACGAUGAAUAAUGUACAAAUAGUGUGUAGUGUACAUAACGUAAAUUAUAUAUUUUCAGUGAGUAUUAUUGAGUUCUGUAUUAUAAAUGGAGCGAGCAUUCUUCAUUCUGUGAAAACUAUGAUCUGCUGAUGUAAAGGAUAAAAAUACAGUUGGUUGCAUCUGUUU